RNAcentral lists this ribosomal RNA (467 nucleotides) under uncultured bacterium. Its description in RNAcentral is "partial 16S ribosomal RNA". It matches the Rfam family "Bacterial small subunit ribosomal RNA", at positions 28 to 507 of the family's 1533-position model. The record is from RNAcentral.
GACGAACGCUGGCGGCGUGCUUAACACAUGCCAGUCGAACGGAAAGGCCCUGCUUUUGUGGGGUGCUCGAGUGGCGAACGGGUGGGUAACACGUGAGUAACCUGCCCUUGACUUUGGGAUAACUUCAGGAAACUGGGGCUAAUACCGGAUAGGAGCUCCUGCUGCAUGGUGGGGGUUGGAAAGUUUCGGCGGUUGGGGAUGGACUCGCGGCUUAUCAGCUUGUUGGUGGGGUAGUGGCUUACCAAGGCUUUGACGGGUAGCCGGCCUGAGAGGGUGACCGGCCACAUUGGGACUGAGAUACGGCCCAGACUCCUACGGGAGGCAGCAGUGGGGAAUAUUGCACAAUGGGCGGAAGCCUGAUGCAGCAACGCCGCGUGCGGGAUGACGGCCUUCGGGUUGUAAACCGCUUUCGCCUGUGACGAAGCGUGAGUGACGGUAAUGGGUAAGAAGCACCGGCUAACUACGUG